Molecule: ribosomal RNA, 555 nt
Filed under: Sarcophaga dux
Lineage: Eukaryota; Metazoa; Arthropoda; Insecta; Diptera; Sarcophagidae
Description: partial 16S ribosomal RNA
Rfam family: Bacterial large subunit ribosomal RNA
Source: RNAcentral
UCGCCUGUUUAACAAAAACAUGUCUUUUUGAAAUUUUUUUAAAAGUCUAACCUGCCCACUGAAUAAUUUAAAUGGCCGCAGUAUACUAACUGUGCAAAGGUAGCAUAAUCAUUAGUCUUUUAAUUGAAGGCUGGUAUGAAUGGUUGGACGAGAUAUUAACUGUUUCAUAAAAAUUUAUAGUAGAAUUUUAUUUUUUAGUCAAAAAGCUAAAAUAAAAUUAAAAGACGAGAAGACCCUAUAAAUCUUUAUACAUAGAUUAUUAGAAUUUCAUAGAUUUUUUUUGUUAUAAUAAUUAAUUGUAUUUUAUUGGGGUGAUAUUAAAAUUUAAUAAACUUUUAAUUUUAAAAAUCAUUAAUUUAUGAAUAAUUGAUCCGUUAAUAACGAUUAGAAAAAUAAGUUACUUUAGGGAUAACAGCGUAAUUUUUUUGGAGAGUUCAUAUCGAUAAAAAAGAUUGCGACCUCGAUGUUGGAUUAAGAUAUAAUUUUAGGUGCAGUCGCUUAAAUUUUAAGUCUGUUCGACUUUUAAAAUCUUACGUGAUCUGUUCCCAAACCGGA